This 202-nucleotide ribosomal RNA is filed under the name uncultured bacterium. Its description in RNAcentral is "partial 16S ribosomal RNA". It matches the Rfam family "Bacterial small subunit ribosomal RNA", at positions 27 to 229 of the family's 1533-position model. The record is from RNAcentral.
GGACGAACGCUGGCGGCGUGCUUAACACAUGCAAGUCGAGCGGUAACGGCCCUUUCGGGGGUACACGAGCGGCGAACGGGUGAGUAACACGUGGGUGACCUGCCUUUAGCUCUGGGAUAAGCCUGGGAAACUGGGUCUAAUACCGGAUAUGACCCUAUGGCGCAUGUUGUGGGGUGGAAAGCCUUGUGCGGCUAGGGAUGGG